Molecule: long non-coding RNA, 2567 nt
Organism: Helianthus annuus (common sunflower)
Lineage: Eukaryota; Viridiplantae; Streptophyta; Magnoliopsida; Asterales; Asteraceae
Exons: 12
Source: RefSeq, a predicted model, not a curated record
CAAAACCGUAUACAUAUAUAACCUACAUUAUUCUGGCUCCACUUUCAAAAUUCAAUCCCUCUCUCAAAUCCAGAGCACCUCCUUCUGCUUCAAACCCUAAAACUCCAUCCGUACAGAGACGAUUCUUCAUCUAAUCAUCUUUCAUCCCUACGAUUUGAAACCGGAUUUGAUUAAUCUCAACAAGCAGAUGUUUGUUCUUGCACGAGCUGUGAUCACAAUAAUACUGAUCGAUCAUGAUUGGGACUUCGAUUUGGAUUGAUUUUACUGUUUUUUGAUGUUUUUAGAGUUGUUGGUUGUAGGAGUCUUAGGAAUUAGGUAAAACCAUUGGAUUUUGAAUCUCUAGCAGUUACGAUUUAUCAUUUGGUCUCGGAUUUUGUUUUCGAUCACAUGUCUGUUUCAGGUGGAUUCUGGCCAGGUGGUUAUGAAGGGAAGUGGCAGAUGUCCAGUGACUGUUGGCGGUGGUAGAUGGUAGUAGACAACAACAACAACCUGGACAAAUGUAGAUUGCUGACAAAUCCCAAGUGUAUACUCAACAUGCUUACAUGAGACCACUUGGAGUAGUGGCCAUGAUUUUGGGUAUUGAUGAUGAGAAUGGACCUAGACUUUUCAAAUGUGAUCCAGCUGGCCACUUCUUUGGUCACAAGGGGCAUUUCAAGAAACAAACAGAAACAGAGAUCAACCUUAAAUACAUAGAUCCUACGUACAUGAUUCGAGCUGUUCCAAGUAAUGCAUCGGAUAAUGUUUACUGCGCUCUUCUGGCUCAUAGUGCGGUUCACGGAGCCAUGGUCGAGAAUGUUACCUACCGUUUUACAGAAUAACUGAGAAACAAAACAAGGUUGUAAUUACUGAUAGGAUGUGGGCAAGAAUGUUAUCUUCAACGAAUCAACCGAGUUUUUUGAAUACGAAAGAUAUCAUUGAGUCAGACAUGGAUGAAGCACCACCAACUCAGUUGCUAGAUGACCGGGUGCUGGAUAACGGGUUUGUGACCAAGGAAACUACUGUUUGCUGAUUGUGGUCGCGCGAAUACACUCUUUUUUUCAAGUUGCAAGAAUUAAAUAAAAGUCUUGGAUCACUCAUGUGUGUAUAUAUAUACGGUAUAACGUAAUGGCUGGUAUAUGAGGGCUGUCGGUUUAGAUUUUCAUGAUCUGUGAAACCGAGAUGAUGGCUGCUUUAUAUUUGCAAGUCAGUAUUGUGAGCCAAGCUCUCAUCUUUGUCACCCGUUCUCGUAGCUGGUCGACCCGGCUUCUUACUGAUGGGUGCUUUCCUUGCAGCACAACUGGUAACAACUUUAAUUGCGGUAUACGCAGAGUGGGAAUUCGCAAGAAUCAAAGGAAUCGGAUAGAAAUGGGUUGUCGUUAUCUGGCUUUACAGUAUCGUGUUUUAUUUCAAACUCUUGAUAUAAUGAAGUUUACGAUCAGAUACAUAGUGGCAAGGCUUGGCUCAGCAUGAUUGACCAAAGGAUAUAUUACUAUAUUUCAAUAAUUUCAUCAUUCACCAAUAACCUUAUAUCCUAAACUUUAAUGAUGAACACUAAAACUUAACAAAACAUUAUGUGUGUUUUUGUGUAGACUGCUUUCACAACAAAUAAGGAUUAUGGAAGAGAAGAAAGAGAGGCCCAAUGGGCUCAUGCUCAAAGGACUCUUCAUGUGGCUCCAUGCACCCAAUACCUCAACCCUCUUCAACGAAAAGAGCAGCUACAGAGAAUUGUCUUGUCUGAAAUCGCUGAAUAGGCCAAACGAUGUGCUGAAGUUGCAAGGCUUUGAGAGCUAGAAGGGAUAACUAAAGCGUGAACAGUUGAAUGUACUCUUUCUUGGGAUAACUAAUGCUGUCGUUUCUGUCCAUACUUUUAAGCGGCACCAGAUCCCUCAUCGCCUGCAACUAUUCUAUAAGUUAAGGUAUCUCUAAGUUUCGGUUUCCUUUUUAACAAGAAAUAGCAACUCCUUCGUGAUUAAAUGGGUCAUGUUCACGGGAUUAAUCGAACACGAAACCGGGUCGACCAACAAUGGCCACAAUUCGCAGAGCUACAGAUCAAUGAGCAACUAAGAGAAAUACAUUGGGUCAAAUGAUUGUCCUUUACUUUGCAUUAACUCCUCCAAAGGUCGAUUAGUUAAUCACAAACUGAAUCCAUGGGAUCUGUAGGGUUUAAAUGCUUCACCCGGUCAGCAUCUUAGCUAUUAACAAUGAGGAUAUAGAUGAUUAGAAGGAUUUUGUUCUUGAUCUGUCACCCAAAGUUAUGAUUCCUAGCAUGGAGCAAAGAAUCCGUUUUCUAAAUGAGCAGGUCAUCUUUAUUUCUACUCAAAUUAGUUAUAUUUUAAUUUUGAAUCCGUACUCAUCUUCAUUAUGUAUGCCGUUAUAGAUCUCUACAAAUAUGAUAACAGAUAUUAUGCCACUUUGCUGCAUUUUGAUAAUGAAAUUUUUGGUGUAGAUAUUAUGCCACUUUGUAAUGAGAACUUCUCAUCUGUGUAUAUUAAAUCGAAGGCUAGUUAAACAUGUUUGUGGCUAUUAUUAUUGUAAAACAACAAAUGUGGUGUAUAAAGAAAUAUUUAACGACCAGUGAUUUUUUUCUA